UUCUGGGUUUCCUGUUUGCUGCUGCUACAAGGCCAAAAUAAAGAGUCCUCGCUGAUUGCAGAGGGAAUCUUACAUGAUUGUGCUCAGACAAAGAAGCUGCCUGUUGGAUACUGCUGGAGGGCAAAGGCACUGCCGGGCUUCUGGCAGACGCCUGUCACCGCGCUGUUCAGAGCUCCGCCGAUUGAUUAUGAUUUUGGUGUUGGUUUGAGUUUGUCUCCCGGCGUCACCGACUCCGCGAAGCUGUCACCGGCGGCGAGGAGCUCCAGCCUUGAGCGCCAGCAGAGUGAGUCCCCGCAGGAAGAGGACGGGGACGACAGGAAAUAAUAGAGACAAUUGUUUUUCAUGAGCCGAGACGGAGAGGAGACACAAUCAAACGGGACGGAGACGAAUCGGCUCAUUAGUAAAAACCGAGGCGUCUUGUGAAGCUGGUUUGUCUACGGUCGAACCAGGUAAAAAGUGAACCUUGUCAAGGUUCC
Long non-coding RNA from Gambusia affinis (western mosquitofish), 476 nucleotides. RefSeq lists it as uncharacterized. NCBI's taxonomy places the organism in Eukaryota, Metazoa, Chordata, Actinopteri, Cyprinodontiformes, Poeciliidae. The record is from RefSeq and is a predicted model, not a curated record. The transcript is spliced from 3 exons.